Molecule: transfer RNA, 72 nt
Filed under: Ovis aries (sheep)
Lineage: Eukaryota; Metazoa; Chordata; Mammalia; Artiodactyla; Bovidae
Rfam family: tRNA
About the family: Transfer RNA (tRNA) molecules are approximately 80 nucleotides in length.
Source: Rfam by way of RNAcentral
UCCCCAGUGGCUCAGAUGGUAAAGCGCCUGCAUGCAAGGCAGGAGACCCGGGUUUGAUCCCUGGGUCAGGAA